This 3103-nucleotide long non-coding RNA is filed under the name Brassica napus (rape). RNAcentral's name for it is "long non-coding RNA (BNAP_LNC004806)". The record is from RNAcentral. Lineage: Eukaryota; Viridiplantae; Streptophyta; Magnoliopsida; Brassicales; Brassicaceae.
GUUGCUCUCUGAGCCGAAUGAGAGCUCAUGCUAGACAAUGCGUACGCUCGACCUGACGUUUGGUACAUACUCAUGCUCGUCAUCUUCUCUUGCAGCGCUCUCAGCUCAAAGGUUAAAGACUCGCAAAGCCCAUCGCCCGACCGAGCAGACAGCGUCUCCGCCAAGUCCCUCUCGCUCUUCCUCAGAAGCUCACCUGCUGCUCUCACGUCGCCUCCAUCGGCUAAAGCCUUAGCUUCUGAAAUAGCUUGUGAAACAAGGAACCUGUUUCUCUGCCUAUCAACCUCUAUGGACACCACUUCUUCUCCCGUUAACUCGUUUGGCCUUUGGAUGAUUAGUUCCCCUGACUCCACACGGACUGUCUCUCUCGUGACCGGAUCUUUGUACACGCAUCGCACCUUGAGCAGCGACAUGGAUUCAGAUUCUUCGCAGCUCGGAAUCUCAAGAACCACGAGGAAGUCCCUCUCUUCCUCUGCGUACAUGUCUCCGACACUGAUCGUGGCGCUUCUUCCAUCAGACGAGACGCUGUUUCUGUAGCUUCCUGCUUUAACAGAGCAUAUCUUCACUCCCACCUCGUGAACGCACUCGAUCUCAACAACUUGCUCAAGAACCACAACGCUGAGAAGCCCUCCAAUGCACUGAGCAAACGCGUCGCGUAUCACAGUCUCCGUCUCGAUAAACGAGAACGUGCCGCUAGAGACUCGCGAAAUCGCGUGCAUCAGCUCAGCGUCGUGGUCAGAACCGAACCCAAAGGCAUGUAUCGGGAUCCUGCUAGUGGAGCUCGGAAGCAAAGCCUCGUAACUCGUUCUCUGACGGACACCGAACCCGAACUGAGAAAAAGUAAAGUUGUCCUGCCCAUCGGACAAAAGCAUCAUCACUGGAACAGGGCUUCUCCAUCUCCUGUCCUCGAUCACUCUAGCACCAAUCUUGAGCCCUUCUGCGAUAUUAGUGCAGCCGUCAGCAACCAAGGAGUUAACAGCUUGAACCGCCUCUCGUUUCCCCGCCGCAGACAUCACCUUAAGAGGGAAAAGCCUACGAGCAUCCGAGGAGAAAGCAACCACAGAGAGCCUAUCCGUUUCGCCGAGAUUCUGAAUCACAAACCCAACAGCGUUUUUCAAAAGCUCCAUCUUGGGCCCGUCCAUGCUACUACUCACGUCGAGAACCGCGACGAGAUCCAAAGGAGCACGAGAAGGCAUCUCCUCGUCGCCGCUCACAUCACCCGCCUUGAGAUGAACAAGAACAGCAAAAUCACCAAGCGUAACCUCUUUCGCCACAGCUGAGACUUGUGGGAGAAGUUUAACCUCCAGAGGAGGAGGCCCAGGCUGAUCACCAUGGGCCUGGGCUUGGGCCUGGGCUUGGGCCUGGGCCUGGGGUAAAGGCUCGUCGUCUUCAAAACUUAUUUGAGGAGCGGGGGAGGGAAGAGGCGGGACAGGGAGAGGGAUGUGGAAACGGGAGGGGGGACGAGUGUUAUCAAGAAACGAAGGGACUUGUUUCCACUGAGUUCUGCAGAGAGGACAGAUCUUGUUUCCGUGUUUCACGUUGGUGGUGAUACAGUCAAAAUGAAAAGUGUGAGAGCACUCCGCUGUGAAGAUCGCCUUCCCAUCUCCCUUCACAAUCUCAUCCAAGCAAAUCGCGCAUUCAUUCUGCAAAAUUUUAUUUAAAAAAAAACUAAUUUUAAACCAAAAAACCUAAAAUUACAUAAAAGAAGUUAGAGAGAUCGUGAGAGAGAGAACCUUGGAGGAAGAGGAAGGUGGAAGGAGAGGAGCUGACGGAUCGGUUAGUUAGUGACUACGAGUAUCAAUUGGCAAACAUGUCGGUGGAAGAUUCGCCGCACACAUUCAAAUUUAACUUAUAAAAUCAAAAAUGAUUUGGAUCAAAAUCUAAACAACCAUUAACACAAAGACGAUAAACGAAAUCCCAAAGUAAUAGUCGCGCAAAAAAAUUGAAGGGAAGAUGCGAUGAUGAUGAUGAUGAUGCUUACGGAGUUUUUGACGUAAUUAGAAGAUUACGAUUCUGAGUCACGCUCUCUCUCUCUGAUCUCGCGAGUUGUGCAACGUGGUGAGGGAGAGAGAGAGAGAGAGAUUCAGUAAGUGUGAAGAAGCACUGUGGAAGAGAACUCAGGUGAAUCCGAGCCGAUUCUUCGUGUUGUUUUCUUCUCAAGUUAAUUAAAGGGUCCAAUAAUAAUCUUUCUUUCUUUUUUUUUUGCACGGUUCUUCUUUUUCUUUAAAGUAAAAAGCUUACCUAAACUAUGUACACGUGGCUUCCUUUCUUGAUUUUUUUUAAAGUAUAAAAAUUCUCAUCUUUCUUUCUUGGUUUAGUAGUUCAGCAACAAUAAAUCUUUAACCGGUUAACCAAAGACGAAUCCGUUCCUAAAAGAUUAUAUUCUGGAAAAAAAAUUGUUUCAAUGUAUGAAUUUAUAAAAAAUUGUAAGUUUCAAAAAAGUUAAUGGUGUUUAUUAAAUUUUUAUUGGCUAAAAAUUAUGAAAAAUUAUUAUUCACAAAAAACAAUGCAUAUUUAAUGAGUUAUUUUAAUAUAUGUGAAAAGUCUAGAAUAUGCAUCUUUUAAAAAUAGAGGGAGUAUUAUUUUGCUGCUUAAAGGAAACACAAAUCAAACACACGGUGACUGAACCAACUCAAUCAUCAGUAAUCAAAACCCCAAAUCCAUUAUUAUUUUAAUAACUCUUUCUGUCAAAUUCAGGUUUGGUCUCCAGGAGCAGGGGACGUUGUUGGGCUUUGGAUCCCCAGUUGCUGAGACCGAGUCACCAUACGAGCCAUUGCUGACGUCUGAUAAGCCUGUGGCAACGGCAUGCUAUAUCCUGCUGUUCCUGGCGAGUACGUUGGCGAGAAGCCCGAGACUGUUGGAGAGUAACGAGCCGUUGCUCUCUGAGCCGAAUGAGAGCUCAUGCUAGACAAUGCGUACGCUCGACCUGACGUUUGGUACAUACUCAUGCUCGUCAUCUUCUCUUGCAGCGCUCUCAGCUCAAAGGUUAAAGACUCGCAAAGCCCAUCGCCCGACCGAGCAGACAGCGUCUCCGCCAAGUCCCUCUCGCUCUUCCUCAGAAGCUCACCUGCUGCUCUCACGUCGCCUCCAUCGGCUAAAGCCUUAG